RNAcentral lists this long non-coding RNA (756 nucleotides) under Ursus maritimus (polar bear). RNAcentral describes it as "lncRNA (ENSUMAG00000014490.1)". Lineage: Eukaryota; Metazoa; Chordata; Mammalia; Carnivora; Ursidae. The record is from RNAcentral.
GACCAACUGAAUGAAAAUGAAAACUUAAGAGUUGCUACCCCAGUAGAGUAAAUGCCUUUCGAAGUUGGAUUCUCUCAAGGAAGAUUCUAUUACCUGUGGUGGAGCACAACACCUGGGAGAAAGAGGUAGGCCUUGCCAGAUACUUCUCAGAACACAGGAAUGAGGAUUCUCUGAUAGCAUUCUGUGUCAUCCAAUUGACUACAUAGGACCAAUGGGCUACGGGCAGCAUGUGUACCAUGUUGGCAGCAAAAGGAGAGAUGAGGCUAUGAAGACAUACAUUAAUUAAAGAAGUUGUCAAGUUGAAGUUUGGGAUAGAUUGAGAUUUAGAACUCAAGAUUCAGGAAGUCUCCUCUGCAUGUUGGAUAGGUGUCUAGUCCAACUAAGUGUGCAUUCAACAUCUGGGGCUCAGGAUAUAGGAAGAGAAAUCAUUCUGGCAAUGAAGAUGAAAGCAGCAGGAAGGAAUUCCAUUUGUCUCAAAAAAUUAAAAAAUAAACAGAGAUUUUAAACCAAAGGAAUGGAGUUGUAAAAUGGACUAGUCGAUCAAAAUCAAUCAAAAAUACACAGCCCCACAGAAUUAGAAAAUGCCCAGAGGAUGCACGAGGCACUGAAGAUCCCCGGAUGCCACUUACAGGAUGCGGUAAUCUCUUUUGCCCAUUUACAAUUCUUUGACAUUUUGUUCCUGACAGGAACUACGAGAGAGUCUCCCCUCAUGUCAUGUAAAAUAAAUGUCUAAACAUAUGUGAGGCUAAUACUUUA